RNAcentral lists this ribosomal RNA (394 nucleotides) under uncultured bacterium. Its description in RNAcentral is "partial 16S ribosomal RNA". It matches the Rfam family "Bacterial small subunit ribosomal RNA", at positions 523 to 918 of the family's 1533-position model. The record is from RNAcentral.
AUACGUAGGGGACGAGCGUUGUCCGGAAUUACUGGGCGUAAAGGGCGCGCAGGCGGAUAUUUAAGUCAGCUGUAAAAGGCAUGAGCUCAACUCAUGUAUGCGGUUGAAACUGGGUAUCUAGAGUGCUGGAGAGGUAGGCGGAAUUCCCGGUGUAGCGGUGAAAUGCAUAGAUAUCGGGAAGAACACCAGUGGCGCAGGCGGCUUACUGGCCAGCAACUGACGCUGAGGCGCGAAAGCCAGGGGAGCGAACGGGAUUAGAUACCCCGGUAGUCCUGGCCGUAAACGAUGAAUGCUAGGUGUGGGUGUCGAGAGGCAUCCGUGCCGGAGUUAACGCGAUAAGCAUUCCGCCUGGGGAGUACGAUCGCAAGAUUGAAACUCAAAUGAAUUGACGGGG